Molecule: ribosomal RNA, 253 nt
Filed under: uncultured bacterium
Lineage: Bacteria
Description: partial 16S ribosomal RNA
Rfam family: Bacterial small subunit ribosomal RNA
Source: RNAcentral
UACGGGGGGAGCAAGCGUUGUUCGGAUUUACUGGGCGUAAAGAGCGCGCAGGCGGUCGUUCAAGUCGAGUGUGAAAGCCCCCGGCUCAACUGGGGAGGGUCAUUCGAUACUGAUCGACUUGAAGGCAGGAGAGGGAAGUGGAAUUCCCGGUGUAGUGGUGAAAUGCGUAGAUAUCGGGAGGAACACCAGUGGCGAAGGCGACUUCCUGGCCUGUUCUUGACGCUGAGGCGCGAAAGCUAGGGGAGCAAACGGG